CCUACGGGUGGCAGCAGUGGGGAAUAUUGCACAAUGGGGGAAACCCUGAUGCAGCGACGCCGCGUGAGUGAAGAAGUAUUUCGGUAUGUAAAGCUCUAUCAGCAGGGAAGAAGAAAGACGGUACCUGACUAAGAAGCCCCGGCUAACUACGUACCAGCAGCCGCGGUAAUACGUAGGGGGCAAGCGUUAUCCGGAUUUACUGGGUGUAAAGGGAGCGUAGACGGCUGUGCAAGUCUGAAGUGAAAGCCCAGGGCUGAACCCUGGAACUGCUUUGGAAACUGUGGAGCUAGAGUACUGGAGAGGUAGGUAGAAUUCCUAGUGUAGCGGUGAAAUGCGUAGAUAUGAGGAGGAACACCGAUGGCGAAGGCAGCUUACUGGACAGUGACUGACGUUGAGGCUCGAAAGCGUGGGGAGCAAACAGGAUUAGAUACCCUGGUAGUC
RNAcentral lists this ribosomal RNA (441 nucleotides) under uncultured bacterium. RNAcentral's name for it is "partial 16S ribosomal RNA". It matches the Rfam family "Bacterial small subunit ribosomal RNA", at positions 338 to 795 of the family's 1533-position model. The record is from RNAcentral.